AAUAAGGAAAAGAAAAGAUUUAAAAUCUUUUAAGUACAUAUUAAAAAAUGUACCUUAUUA
Molecule: transfer RNA, 60 nt
Filed under: Bugula neritina
Lineage: Eukaryota; Metazoa; Bryozoa; Gymnolaemata; Cheilostomatida; Bugulidae
Description: tRNA-Leu
Source: RNAcentral